GUUCUUGUAGCUUAACUUCAAAGCAUAGCACUGAAGAUGCUAGGAUAAACAUAGUUUUAAGAGCA
RNAcentral lists this transfer RNA (65 nucleotides) under Simocephalus vetulus. RNAcentral describes it as "tRNA-Phe". It matches the Rfam family "tRNA". From Rfam's summary of the family: Transfer RNA (tRNA) molecules are approximately 80 nucleotides in length. Their secondary structure includes four short double-helical elements and three loops (D, anti-codon, and T loops). Further hydrogen bonds mediate the characteristic L-shaped molecular structure. tRNAs have two regions of fundamental functional importance: the anti-codon, which is responsible for specific mRNA codon recognition, and the 3' end, to which the tRNAs corresponding amino acid is attached (by aminoacyl-tRNA synthetases). tRNAs cope with the degeneracy of the genetic code in two manners: having more than one tRNA (with a specific anti-codon) for a particular amino acid; and 'wobble' base-pairing, i.e. permitting non-standard base-pairing at the 3rd anti-codon position. Lineage: Eukaryota; Metazoa; Arthropoda; Branchiopoda; Diplostraca; Daphniidae. The record is from RNAcentral.